This 641-nucleotide ribosomal RNA is filed under the name Enterobacter hormaechei. Its description in RNAcentral is "bacterial SSU rRNA". It matches the Rfam family "Bacterial small subunit ribosomal RNA", at positions 871 to 1514 of the family's 1533-position model. Lineage: Bacteria; Pseudomonadati; Pseudomonadota; Gammaproteobacteria; Enterobacterales; Enterobacteriaceae. The record is from RNAcentral.
GCCUGGGGAGUACGGCCGCAAGGUUAAAACUCAAAUGAAUUGACGGGGGCCCGCACAAGCGGUGGAGCAUGUGGUUUAAUUCGAUGCAACGCGAAGAACCUUACCUACUCUUGACAUCCAGAGAACUUAGCAGAGAUGCUUUGGUGCCUUCGGGAACUCUGAGACAGGUGCUGCAUGGCUGUCGUCAGCUCGUGUUGUGAAAUGUUGGGUUAAGUCCCGCAACGAGCGCAACCCUUAUCCUUUGUUGCCAGCGGUUAGGCCGGGAACUCAAAGGAGACUGCCAGUGAUAAACUGGAGGAAGGUGGGGAUGACGUCAAGUCAUCAUGGCCCUUACGAGUAGGGCUACACACGUGCUACAAUGGCGCAUACAAAGAGAAGCGACCUCGCGAGAGCAAGCGGACCUCAUAAAGUGCGUCGUAGUCCGGAUUGGAGUCUGCAACUCGACUCCAUGAAGUCGGAAUCGCUAGUAAUCGUGGAUCAGAAUGCCACGGUGAAUACGUUCCCGGGCCUUGUACACACCGCCCGUCACACCAUGGGAGUGGGUUGCAAAAGAAGUAGGUAGCUUAACCUUCGGGAGGGCGCUUACCACUUUGUGAUUCAUGACUGGGGUGAAGUCGUAACAAGGUAACCGAAUCUAGAUG